AACGAACGUUGGCGGCGUGGAUUAGGCAUGCAAGUCGAACGCGAAUCCCUGGGCAACUGGGGAGGAGAGUGGCGAAAGGGGCAGUAAGGCGUGGGUAACCUACCCUCCGGGCCGGGAUAGCUUCGGGAAACUGAAGGUAAUACCGGGCGACGCAGCGAGAUCGCAUGGUCUUGCUGCCGAAGGUCCGCCGCCGGGGGAGGGGCUCACGUGGUAUUAGCUAGACGGCGGGGUAACGGCCCACCGUGGCAAAGAUGCCUAGCAGGUGUGAGAGCACGACCUGCGCCACUGGCACUGAGACACUGGCCAGACACCUACGGGUGGCUGCAGUCGAGGAUCUUCGGCAAUGGGCGCAAGCCUGACCGAGCGACGCCGCGUGUGCGAUGAAGGCCUUCGGGUUGUAAAGCACUGUCGAGGGGGAGGAAGCCGCAAGGUUGACCUAUCCCUGGAGGAAGCACGGGCUAAGUUCGUG
Molecule: ribosomal RNA, 469 nt
Filed under: uncultured bacterium
Lineage: Bacteria
Description: partial 16S ribosomal RNA
Rfam family: Bacterial small subunit ribosomal RNA
Source: RNAcentral